GACCAGCUGAGGCAUUCGCUGCAGCAUGUGCGCAGCCCCAGAGAGGCUUGUUCCUGCUCUGCCCAAGGGCAAGUGUUGUGGCCGUGAAUGUGCUGAGCAGGGAGAGGGACUCAAGUACUGGGAGACGUGGCCGCGUCCUGAGGGACUCACGGUGUAGGAGGGCAAACGCGACAGCCAGAGAAACAACUGUCCUCUCAGUUACGCCGUGUGAAAAGCCGCCCUGUGUCCCGGGGCUGUCCCCAGACCAGGCCUAGUGCACCAUGGGCUGGUCCCUGCACAUCUCCAGAGCUCCCGGGGUCCAUGGCAGGCGCAGACACAAUCAUGGGCUGUGGACGGCACACGGAGCUGGUUCAGAGGCCGCAGUGCAUUCCUGCUCAGGCUGCUCCAAGAGGACACAGAGGAGUUAACUUAGAGCUCGUGUUGAUCCACUAUUGUACUUGGAGAAAAUCAUAUGGCCACGUGACAUGCAUGUUGGUGCCCGUUGUAGGUGAUGUGGUCUCAUCCUGACCAUCACAUGGCUCUUUAAAUCCUAAGAGACAUCGCAGGUACAGGCCCCAUCCUGGAGGACCCUGACAGCUCAGGGUAGCCUUAGAAGGCUCUUUCAGCCCAGCCAGCAGCUGUCCUUGGUGCUGACCAAAGCCUAACGCCUCUGAUUCCAAUAUAUCAAUAACUGGCGUCCUUUUUUUUUUUAAAGACAGGAUCUCACUGUGUAGCCCAGGCUGGGCUAAAAGUUGCUGUGAAUCUCUUGCCUCAGCCUCCCGAGUGCUGGGAUUACAGGUGUGCACCACCAUGCCCAGCUCAGUAAGAAGCAUCUUAUGUUUGUGAGACAUUUGGUUCUUUUCAAAGGACUCUAAAAUGUGUUUGCACUUUAUUAUACUAUAAUUUAUGAGAGGUACAGAAAGUGGAGUUUUAUAUGUUAAAGGUAGAAGCUGAAAGUAGUUCAGGAUUCUGGUUUGCCAUGGGGCCCUGCCUACAUUUUUGUAUUUUCAGUUACACUGUUAUGGCUUGUGUAUAGAUGUCCCCCCCCAGAGUCUUAUACAGUUAUAGGAGGGGCUUUUUCAGAGGUGGCUGGAUCUAGAGUGUGUGACUCUGGAAAUGAUUUGUGGUGCAAUGCUAGGCAUUGAUUCCCGGUAUAAGGGCACUAGGAUUAAGGGUGUGAGUGCUGCCUGCUCUAAGUAGCCUGGAUAAGACAUAAGGGACAGGAAGAGCUGUGGUUUUCCCUUGUUGCUUUGCUGCCUUCUGCCUGCCAUGGACUGUUUCUCCUCUGCCAUCCCGCCCUGCCUUGGAGCCAACUGAUUAUGGGCUGCAACCUCUACAGAUUGUGA
Heterocephalus glaber (naked mole-rat) is the source of this 1325-nucleotide long non-coding RNA. Lineage: Eukaryota; Metazoa; Chordata; Mammalia; Rodentia; Bathyergidae. The record is from Ensembl.